AAAGAGGUCACAUGUUAAGAGUCCUAGGAACAUGACCCAGAACUAAGGGUUAUGAGUUGGGGUAGAGAGACUUUGAUUAGUUCCUGAGAUGUGAUAGACCAGCUCAAAGAGACAGAAAGGGAUGUGGAGAAAAGGACUAAAAAAGAUGAGACCCAUAAAGGAGAUCAAGGGCUUUUGGUGUGAGUUUGCUGGCAUUGAUUCUUCUACUCCAUUUGGCAUUAGUGGCAUAGGAGGAAGACACCUUCAUGGGCUGAGACUGUCUGGCGACUGACUAACUUCCAAUGAAGUUCCCAUAAAAAUGAAAGUCUUGUGUCCAACUUCAUGGAUAUGAAGGAGCCUGUAGAAAACUUUCAAGUUGCAUCCCAAUUUGAUUCCAUUUCUAGUCCUUUCACAGACCAGAAACAUUCCAUAAGUUUAUGUUCCAUCAUGAUCUCCUGUCACCUUGCUCAGAAGGUGAACAGGAAAGAUGAAAGGAAUUAUUUUCUCUACUCCAAAUUUGUAUUUAUUGAUUUAUUGGUUUCAAUCUGUUUAGAAACCAUCCAAGGAUUUCCAUCAUGUAAUGACUAAAGUCUUUGAAGACUGUUUCCAAUAUGACCUCAAUGUUUCUUUCUCUAUUCCCCAACCAGAAUCCUCUGCUUCAAUCAAACUUAUUUUCUACCCUGAAAUUUUUGUUUACAUCAUCCUCCACAUCUAAUAUGUUCUCUUCUGCCUUCAUCUAUCUUUAGAUCAAUUUCAAUUUUCUCUUUUUCUAUGAUAUCUUCCCAGACCACUGUGAGCUACAGGGAUUUCUCCCUUUUUAAAAAUUAUUACAUUUAUUUCUAUAUCAAGUAUAAGCAAUUUCUGGACAGUAUUUUGGAUGCCCUAUAUAAAAAAAUUCUAUCAUGAUAUCAAAUAGCUAUAAAAAUUUAAGAGGAAAAAUUAAAUCAAUGCCCUAGAAUUAGAGAAGAAUCUUCUUUAAAAGGUUAUUGAUUUUUGUCCAAGAAUGUUUUGCUUUUCAGUUGACUGAUCUGUCAGACAUUUUAUAUCAUGUACUACUUUUUUUGGACUGCUUUUGUGUUGUGAUUUACCUUUUAGUGUUAUUUAUAUUGGGAAUAGUCUGGUCAAUGAGAACUCAGUCUUUAGAGCAUGUAACUGCCAAUAUCUCCCUCCCUGAAGACUCACAGAAUUUCUUCCCCUCACUUGAAAGACAUCAAGGACCAGAGUAAGAAAGAAAUAUGGCACUAAAGAAAAAUGCCACUAAACAAACAAUUAAAAGACCUUUUGUCACUAUAUAAUAAGCCAACAGAAAUCCAAAAUACCUGAACAUGUCCUGAAACAGGGAGAGAAAGGGGUCCUUCAUCACCCAUUUCCUGAAGCAGACAGCAAACAUCCAUUGAGUAGAUACGAGGUGGAACAUAUUGUAUAUGCUCUAAAUCAGAGGUUCUAAAGUUUUUAAAAAAUAUUUUGAUAAUUGCAUCUCAGUAUAAUAAGAGUCCUUUGUCAUCUUAUUAAUUUUUUAAUGUAUUUAGAAGCAUUGUUAUGAGAAGGGGUCUAUUGACUUGACUAGACUGCCAAAGAAUUUAAGAAAAUAAAAAGAGUUGAAGAAAUCCCACUCCAGUGACUGGGACCUCAUCAAUCAGUCCUUCCUUUAACUUUGCAUGAACUUAUCUCUUGUUGCCUCACCUGAAUUUUGUUUCCUGAUAUCAAAAAAUGAAAAAAUGAAUGAACAAAUAGGUAAGGUACUUUAGGUCUUAGUGUG
Long non-coding RNA from Monodelphis domestica (gray short-tailed opossum), 1738 nucleotides. RefSeq lists it as uncharacterized. The record is from RefSeq and is a predicted model, not a curated record. Lineage: Eukaryota; Metazoa; Chordata; Mammalia; Didelphimorphia; Didelphidae.